GACGAACGCUGGCGGCGUGCCUAAUACAUGCAAGUCGAGCGCAGGAAACCGUCUGAACCCUUCGGGGGGACGACGGUGGAAUGAGCGGCGGACGGGUGAGUAACACGUAAAGAACCUGCCCACGGGUCUGGGAUAACCACGAGAAAUCGGGGCUAAUACCGGACGGGCCAUCGGACCGCAUGGUCCGAGGAUGAAAGGCGCUCCGGCGUCGCCCGUGGAUGGCUUUGCGGUGCAUUAGCUAGUUGGUGGGGUAACGGCCCACCAAGGCGACGAUGCAUAGCCGACCUGAGAGGGUGAUCGGCCACACUGGGACUGAGACACGGCCCAGACUCCUACGGGAGGCAGCAGUAGGGAAUCUUCCACAAUGGACGAAAGUCUGAUGGAGCAACGCCGCGUGAACGAUGAAGGCCCUCGGGUCGUAAAGUUCUGUUGUAAGGGAAGAACAAGUGCCGCAGGCAAUGGCGGCACCUUGACGGUACCUUGCGAGAAAGCCACGGCUAACUACGUGCCAGCCGCCGCGGUAA
This 524-nucleotide ribosomal RNA is filed under the name uncultured bacterium. RNAcentral describes it as "partial 16S ribosomal RNA". It matches the Rfam family "Bacterial small subunit ribosomal RNA", at positions 28 to 523 of the family's 1533-position model. The record is from RNAcentral.